UUUUUUUUUUUUUUUUUUAUACAUAGGAUUUUAUUUUGCACUGCUGUAACAAUUUCAUUAUAGACCAAGGGAGAGAGAGAGAGAGAAAAAAAAGGAUAAAACCAUCACACUGAGUAAAUUACUAAAGCUUUUCUACUUUUGACAGGAUUUUCCAUCUGGUAGAUUUAUUGUCAUAUCCCCUUCAAAACAGACAAGAUGCUUACCAUAUUUUAAAGAUUAUAGGUUGCCACUGAAAGAAAAAUUUUACACAGUCACUGUACAUCAAGGUUGAAAAACUGUCCUGCAUGAAAAAUAUACUUAGAAAUCAUGUGAAUAAAAGCAAAAGAAAACAUUAUUGUGUUUAAGGAAAGAUUAAAGUCCUCAUAAUGUGCCAUCUAAAUGUGGACAUUCAUUCUUCUUGGAGUCGCUUAGGUGUAGGGAGUUCUUGCUUCUGCCCAUUUCACUCAUUAUACUGUGUUUCUACCCAACAGUAUUCAUUAAGGCAAACAAAUCCUUUUCUGAGGAGGUCUUAAAGAAACUGUGGACAUAUAGCAAACUUUUGGCAUUAAAACAGGUUAACACAUACAUAGCCUUUAGUAAUGUACAUUAAGCAUAUUUUCUUGGACUAGUGACAAGAAAAGAUGAACAUGCUUGUUAACAAUGUCAAAAAGUUUAAAAUUCAGUGUCCAAGCAAUUCCUAACAAUGCUUCUGUAGCUUUAAGCUCUAAACAGUAUAGAAUUUAUGCAAAUGCAUUAAAGAAUUCAAGCUUGGCAAUUACACACCCAAGCAGGUUAAAACUGUAUAUACAGAAAGUAAAUGAUAAAUACAGAAUUAAAAGAGUCCUUCUGGUUUUCCUUAUAGCCUUGAAAACUGACAAACUUUUUGAGGACAGUUCUAGAAUAUUAAACAUUAGGUCCACAGGUGUCGGGAAACCUAACCACACAAACUGAUUUAAAAUACUCAAGAUGACUUUGUAGUGUUUAAUACAGUUCAGUUCGUAGGUAAGGGCACAAGACAACAUUCAACAAAAAUAAUCACAUCAAUUGACCUAGAAAUCAAAUGCAAAUAGAUAUGAAUACAAUCUCCAAAAUCUGUCUUUUUUAAGUGAACAUUAACCAUUUAUUCAAAGUUAUACAAGAAUUUCGAAGGAUUAGAGUCUCCUGUGACAUAAAGCCAUUUCAAAUAGUUUCAUGUCUCAGCUGAGCAGGAGAGUGAAAGAGGAAGUGAGGAGCCACAUUUGGGCAGCGAGACGGUAAAAACGGACUCAACAGCAGCCUCCCCCGGCCUGCUGUCCUCCCUGAUUGCCCGCGUGUGUGGCAUUAGUAGCAGCGUGCUGAGGGCCAAUUUUAAUGCCGUUUGCCUCAUUAUUAAUGUCAAAGACUCCUUCUCGGAUUUUCUCAUAAAUUUCUUUUGCUGUAUUAAUAAAUGCCUCUUCUACAUUGGAAGCAGUCUUAGCAGAAGUUUCCAUGAAGAUAAGUCCAUGUUCUCGUGCAAAAGCUUCACCUUCUUCUUUUUUUACUUCUCUUCUAGAUUCUAAAUCACUUUUAUUUCCAAUAAGCAUAAUGACCAUGUUGGAAUUGGAACGCUGGCGGGCAUCUUCUAACCAGGUUGUCAAGUGGUUGAAUGUAUCUCUCCUUGUAAUAUCAUACACUAGUAAAGCCCCUGCUGCACCUCUGUAAUAUGACCUUGUGAUGGAACGAAAGGACUCUUGCCCUGCCGUAUCCCAUAUCUGAAGUUUUAUCUGUUUCCCAUCAAUAGUUAUCAUUCGAGCACCAAACUCUACACCGAUAGUCAGGUCAUGCACUGGCUGAAACCUCUUGUCUGUAAACUGUAGCAAUAAGCAUGAUUUACCAACACCUGUGUCGCCGAUGAUGAUGUACCUGAAGAGAUAGGCGUACGCCACGGCCACGGCCGCUCGGUGCCAGGGCACACGGCUCCUCCUCCGGCUACUGCUCCUCCUCCUCCUCCUCCUCCGCGCCCCUCACCCCGGCGCCACUCGGCCUCGAAACGCCAGGCCCCGCCCGCCGCAGCCGUCGCCGUCAGCCGCAGACACUUAAGGGCCGAGAGGAAGCAGGACAAACUGACACCCGCACAGCCGGUGGAGACAGCUCCCGACCGAGCUCAGUCGAACAAUC
RNAcentral lists this long non-coding RNA (2115 nucleotides) under Canis lupus familiaris (dog). RNAcentral's name for it is "lncRNA (ENSCAFG00845004689.1)". The record is from RNAcentral. Lineage: Eukaryota; Metazoa; Chordata; Mammalia; Carnivora; Canidae.